This 253-nucleotide ribosomal RNA is filed under the name uncultured bacterium. RNAcentral's name for it is "partial 16S ribosomal RNA". It matches the Rfam family "Bacterial small subunit ribosomal RNA", at positions 524 to 776 of the family's 1533-position model. The record is from RNAcentral.
UACGUAGGGUGCAAGCGUUGUUCGGAAUCAUUGGGCGUAAAGCGCGUGUAGGCGGUCUGUUAAGUCUGGUGUGAAAGCCCGGGGCUCAACCCCGGAACUGCAUUGGAUACUGGCAGACUAGAGGACAGAAGAGGGAAGUGGAAUUCCUGGUGUAGGGGUGAAAUCCGUAGAUAUCAGGAGGAACAUCAGUUGCGAAGGCGGCUUCCUGGUCUGUUACUGACGCUGAGACGCGAAAGCGUGGGGAGCAAACAGG